UGGAGUGUUCUGUAGAUAUCUCCUGUUCAAGUUGGUUCAUAGCAUUGUUCAAGUUUGGUAUCUCUUGUGGAUCCUUUUUAGAGUAAUAGUUUUUAUUGUUAUUAUUAUUAUUAUUUUCUAUCUCCAGCAGUAUUUUUUUUCUCUUAGAGUCUAUUUCGUCUGAUAUGAGUAUUGCCACCUCAGAUAUCCUUUGGUUACUGUUUGCAUAUCCUUUUACUUUCAAUGUACAUGUGUAUUUGAGUAUAAACUGUUUGCCUUAUAGACAACAUAUAGUUGGAUCAUGUUAGAUUUUUAAAAAAGAAUCCACUCUGUUAAUCUAUGCUUUUUAAAAUUUGAGUGUUUAAUCCAUUUACAUUUAGUGUAAUUACUGAUAAGGUAGUAUUUAUGUCUACAUUUUGCUAUUUGUUUUCUGUAUGUCUUAUGUCUUCUUCAUUUCUCUAUUCAUCCAUUAUUGCCUUUUUUAGAGUUAAAUGCUGAUUUUUCCAGUAUGCCAUUUUAUUCUCUUGUCUUUUUUUAUUGUAUUUUGAAUUAUUUUAUUUUAUAGUGGUUGCACUAGAGAUUAAAAUUAAAAAUUAUAGGAACUUACUUCAGAUUAAUACCAUUUUAAUUACACUAGUAUACAAAAUUUUUACCUUUGUGUAUCUCUGUUCCUUAUUAUUAUUAUUAUUAUUAUUUUCUAUCUCCAGCAGUAUUUUUUUUCUCUUAGAGUCUAUUUCGUCUGAUAUGAGUAUUGCCACCUCAGAUAUCCUUUGGUUACUGUUUGCAUAUCCUUUUACUUUCAAUGUACAUGUGUAUUUGAGUAUAUGCUAUAAGACAAAUUGAUUCUGUCAUACAGCUUAGAGACAAUUUCAGGCAGUAUAAUGCAUACUGGUGGUGAGAGAUUUUCUUUCAUAAAAUGGUUGUCUUUUUUUGAACCACAGUCAUUUUUUUGGGGGGGGGGAAAUAGCAGUUCAUCUUGAAAUACCUUUUAUCUACAUAUUUUGUUCUCUUAUUCUGUGACAUCUCUUCUUUUUUUCUCACUACAGUAGACUUUGUCAAGCAGCAUUCUUUUCAUUUUUGCAUUCUGAUAGAAUUUCUCAAGUUUUCCCCUCUACCAGGGUGCAAGUUCUGAUCUUUACUUCUGUGUGGACUCUUCUUCUGUACUUAUAUUUUCAGUUUCUGUGGCUUGCCUUCUCUUUUAUUUAGCUCCUUCUGAACAUAGCUUUCUUUCUCCUUCAAAGGAGACCUGGGUUAAGGCAAACACUCAGAAGGAUGCUGUUUGCCUGCAGUCCACCUGGGAUGCCAGUCUUUGAAAGACCUUUCUGGUCCUGUGGAUUAUUUUUAGAGGAAUGUUCUUCCUCUUAAUGUUAAUAUGCUUAUGCUCCUCCAUUUACUUGUGUUUCUGAAGGAGGCACAUGAAUUGGUGUUUUCUCUUUUACUUGGUGUUUUCACAAUAUCAUUGGACAUUUUAUUUAUAAUAACUUUGUUGUGAAAAAUGAUAAAUACCCAUUAUCAGUCAUUCAGAUAAUACAGAAAGGUAUAAGAAAAUAAAGGAAAAAAACCACAGACACAAAAUGCCACCUUCAACAACAAGUGCUCAAUGACAUCUGGUAACAACGAUUCAGGCAUCCCUUUGUUCAUGGAUAUAAGUAAAGGGGGAUGAAUAUAAAGAGUUUUAUAUUGAAUGUUCUACUUUAAGGGUAAAUAUUAAAAUGUAAAUUUCAUUUUGCUUUAAUAGGAAAUAGAACCAGUGGAAAAGGUUAUGAAAAGUCUUUAAUAGUUGGAUUCAUUCUUUUUAAAAAUUUAUUUUAUUUUAAAUACUUUUUUUCUUUUUUAGGGCUGCACCCGUGACACAUGGAAGUUUCCAAGCUAAGGGUUGAAUCUGCGCUACAGCUGCCAGCCUACACCACAGCCUUAGCAACGUGAGAUCCAAGCUGCACCUGCACCCUACACCAUAGCUCAUGGCCACACCAGAUCCUUAACCCACUGAGCGGGAUCGAACCCAUGUCCUCAUGGAUACUAGAGGUUCAUUACUGCUGAGCUACAAUGGGAACUCCUAUUUGAAAGACUUUUAAUGCUAAACCAGUUUAAUAUUUUUUUAGAAACUUAUUUUAUUGAAAUACAGUUGAUUUACAAUGUUGUGUUAGUUUCUUUACAGCAAAAUGAUUCAGUUAUAUAUAUGUGUAUGUAUAUAUAUUCUUUUCAUAUUCUUUUCUACUAUGGUUUACUACAGGGUAUUGAAUGUAGUUCCCUGUACUAUACAGUAUGUCCUUGUUGAUUUUUCAAAGUCAUUCUUUUUUUAAAUUAAAAGUUCAGGUUUGCAAGGUGUUUCUUAAAUACCUAUUGUGAGUACAGAGGAAAUUAGCAGACACAUACCUAAUUUCACAGAAUAGGGUAGCAUGGGGGUUAACACUUGCACCCAGACAACCCACAAUCAAGUCCCAGUGCUGCCGCUUGACCUUGGGCAGAUGGGGAUACCGCACUGUGACUCAGUAUUAUUCCUUAGUAAGAAGAAGUAAUCUUCCUAAGACAGAGUGGAUUAUAACAGUAUCUUUCUCAAAAAGUUGUUGCAAAGUUGAGUUGUUAUUAUAAUUUAUAGGCUGUCUGGCACAUUAAUAUUAUUAUUUUCCAUCUCUGCAGCUUGUUUUUUUCCUAGUUAGAGCUUAUGUUUACAAGGCAGAUCUAGUAACAUUCGUAUUCUCCUCUGUGCCCCUGCUUCCUACAAUAUUUCACUGUCAUCCCAUAUUUAAGUGCUUGUGGUGCACCCCUGCAGCCCUGGGCACCACAGCCUCUAUCCUCCUAAGAUGUUUUCUCUACUAAGGGCUAAAUUCUUUAUUUUGGUUAAUUUAUGUGUGGCCAGAUGUUGUUAUCUGGUCGUUUUUUGUUUGUUUGUUUGUUUCAGGAUAAGGACUUAUAAUUGUUUCAGUCCUUAAAUUCCUGAAAAGAAUUUGCUCUCCACCUGAAAGGAUACCUACGUACACAUCAGUUUCUUUCCCUCAGGAUAAUACAGUCCAGCCACCCCCUGAAAGACACCAUCCCCUGUGCUGCUACUCUGUCUUUCCUUAGUUAGGAUGGAAAAAUAAAUGUAGUAGAAGAGCACAGAGAAAAUAUAUACAGUGUGCACUUGGGUCAUAACAUCCAGUUGGAACAAAUAAUACUUUGCUGUAAUUGCUUCAAAUCUGUGUAAAUGACAUAAGUUCACAUGCAACUGAAGCUCCCCUUGCACAUGGGCCCAGCCCCGGCCCGCCCUCCUUCUUUCUCCUUCCUCUGUGGUUGCUGCUGUCUUGCAUGUGGUGUGUUUUCUUCCUGCCUGCACUUUUGUGCUUGCUACUGUAUGUCUGUGAUCAGCAUGUACUAUUGUUUGGUAUAUUUUAAAAUUCACAUUAUAAAUGACAUUUUAUUAUCAGUAGCGUUUCUUCUACUUUCUUCUUUUUGUCAGUGCUAUUUUCUAGAGUUAUUCUUGUUGAUAAUGUGUAGAUCUCAUCAUUGACUUUAAAUGCCAUGUACUUAAUACUGCAUUGUGUGAAUGGUAACCUUAGAGCUCUCCAUUUUUUUAGUCUUUCUUACAAGGGGGAUUCAGCUACCAUACUUGUAUCUGACUGUGUGUGCUCCUGAGGGACCAUUUUCCUAGGGCACUGGGUCUCAAACUUGCCUGAACAUUGGGAUCCCCUAGAGAGUUAAAAAAUGCUGACGUCUUAUAGCCCCAGGUAGUCUAAUGUAAUUGAUCUGGCAUGCAGCCUGGGCAUCAGCAUCUAAAAAUCUCUCCAGGAAAUUCUAAUGUGCAACAGUGUUUGAGAGCCUCUGCUUUAGGCAUCACUAUCCAAUGGAGGAAUUAUAGAUUACCUGUGACUUUUCUGAUUUAAAUUAAUUAAGUAUAUAGUAUGAAUACAGUUCCUCAGCUGUACUAACCACCUUUCAAAUGCUUAAGGGCCACCAGUGGUUGGUGGCUACCAUAUUGGACAGCACAAGUGUGGGACAGUCCCCUGGUCAGAGGGCACUUACUCUAGCAUGUACACCCGGGCAGGCAUUUGCUGGUAAGAAGAUGUGCCUCACUGUCCUGGCUGCAGAUGUGCUGCUUCUACUCCUCCUUGUGCAACAAUUGCCACAUGUUUAGUGGCUUAGAGUGACAUAAGGGAGUUCCUGUCAUGGCUCAGCAGUAACAAACCUGACUAGUAUCCAUGACGACGCAGAUUUGAUCCCUGGCCUCGCUCGGUGGAUUAAAGAUCUGGCGUUGCUGUGAGCUGCAGUGUAGGCCACAGAUCAGCUCUGGCUCCACAUUGCUGUGGCUGGGGGCAUAGUCUGGCAGGUGUAGCUCGGAUUUGACCCCUAGCCUGGGAAUUUCCAUAUGCC
Molecule: long non-coding RNA, 4329 nt
Filed under: Sus scrofa (pig)
Lineage: Eukaryota; Metazoa; Chordata; Mammalia; Artiodactyla; Suidae
Description: lncRNA (ENSSSCG00030015827.1)
Source: RNAcentral